AUUGAACGCUGGCGGCAUGCCUUACACAUGCAAGUCGAACGGUAACAGGUCUUCGGAUGCUGACGAGUGGCGAACGGGUGAGUAAUACAUCGGAACGUGCCUAGUAGUGGGGGAUAACUACUCGAAAGAGUGGCUAAUACCGCAUGAGAUCUACGGAUGAAAGCAGGGGAUCGCAAGACCUUGUGCUACUAGAGCGGCCGAUGGCAGAUUAGGAAGUUGGUGGGAUAAAAGCUUACCAAGCCGACGUUCUGUAGCUGGUCUGAGAGGACGAUCAGCCACACUGGGACUGAGACACGGCCCAGACUCCUACGGGAGGCAGCAGUGGGGAAUUUUGGACAAUGGGCGCAAGCCUGAUCCAGCAAUGCCGCGUGCAGGAUGAAGGCCUUCGGGUUGUAAACUGCUUUUGUACGGAACGAAAAGCCCUGGGUUAAUACCCUGGGGUCAUGACGGUACCGUAAGAAUAAGCACCGGCUAACUACGUGCCAGCAGCCGCGGUAA
RNAcentral lists this ribosomal RNA (498 nucleotides) under uncultured bacterium. Its description in RNAcentral is "partial 16S ribosomal RNA". It matches the Rfam family "Bacterial small subunit ribosomal RNA", at positions 30 to 523 of the family's 1533-position model. The record is from RNAcentral.